UGGGGAAUAUUGCACAAUGGGCGCAAGCCUGAUGCAGCCAUGCCGCGUGUGUGAAGAAGGCCUUCGGGUUGUAAAGCACUUUCAGCGAGGAGGAAGGUGGUGAGCUUAAUACGCUCAUCAAUUGACGUUACUCGCAGAAGAAGCACCGGCUAACUCCGUGCCAGCAGCCGCGGUAAUACGGAGGGUGCAAGCGUUAAUCGGAAUUACUGGGCGUAAAGCGCACGCAGGCGGUUUGUUAAGUCAGAUGUGAAAUCCCCGGGCUCAACCUGGGAACUGCAUUUGAAACUGGCAAGCUAGAGUCUCGUAGAGGGGGGUAGAAUUCCAGGUGUAGCGGUGAAAUGCGUAGAGAUCUGGAGGAAUACCGGUGGCGAAGGCGGCCCCCUGGACGAAGACUGACGCUCAGGUGCGAAAGCGUGGGGCAGCAAACAGGAUUAGAUACCCUGGUAGUCCACGCUGUAAAACGAUGUCGAUUUUGGAGGUUGUGCCCUUGAGGCGUGGCUUCCGGAGCUAACGCGUUAAAUCGACCGCCUGGGGAGUACGG
Molecule: ribosomal RNA, 541 nt
Filed under: uncultured bacterium
Lineage: Bacteria
Description: partial 16S ribosomal RNA
Rfam family: Bacterial small subunit ribosomal RNA
Source: RNAcentral